RNAcentral lists this ribosomal RNA (325 nucleotides) under uncultured eukaryote. Its description in RNAcentral is "partial 18S ribosomal RNA". It matches the Rfam family "Eukaryotic small subunit ribosomal RNA", at positions 1470 to 1796 of the family's 1831-position model. The record is from RNAcentral.
CCCUUAGAUGUUCUGGGCCCCACGCGCGCUACACUGAUGCAUUCAACGAGCCUAUCCUUGACCGACAGGUCCGGGUAAUCUUUGAAUCUGCAUCGUGACGGGGAUAGAUUAUUGCAAUUAUUAAUCUUCAACGAGGAAUGCCUAGUAGGCGCAAGUCAUCAGCUUGCGUCGAUUACGUCCCUGCCCUUUGUACACACCGCCCGUCGCUCCUACCGAUUGGGUGUGCUGGUGAAAUGUUCGGAUCGGCCGUUUGUCGCGGUUUCCGCGUCAUGUGGCUGAGAAGUUCAUUAAACCCUCCCACCUAGAGGAAGGAGAAGUCGUAACA